UUUUAGGAAUAUUUCUGCGCGCCGCAUAGGUGGCAAACAUAUUUUGCAUUGAAGUCUCAUUCCUUCCCACAAUGGAAGGAGGAUGCGAAGGGACUGGAGAAUCGUGAGACUGAAUAAACUUGCUUUCAUUCUCUGAGAUGAAGUAUGUGAUCCAAGUUCACACGAAGGAAGAAAUGAAGGUCUAACCCCCACAGGCUUGAUAUCCUGCAUUUGGCUCCAUCAAGCUCGAAAGACGGGACCCAACUGAACGUGCAGUUAGGAGUAUUUGUGGAAGGGGACUGACUCCGCUUGGGUCACGAAGUUGUCCGUGACACAUACUGCUAUCGGAUCGAAGGAACAGAACCCCACCUAAACCUUGCUGCCAAUGCCUGACACACCCAGGUGAAGGGUAGACACCGUCACAGUAAAGCGCAAAGCAGAACUCCGGGAAGCCCAAAAUGUUUCUGCAAAAAAAAAAUACAUGCGCGAGUGUUCUCGGAAAUUCUGGUCGCCUCGAUUUGCAGAGGAAAAAAAAGGAAGAUAAGGAGGGUGAGAAUUUUGUCAAUUGGACCCUCUAUUUGGUGACCAAUAUAACACACUCAGUUACCGUCAUCGACACCUCAGGCUAUAAACAUCUUGGAGGACGACAAUCAUGGAACAGAGGGAAACGGUGAAUUUUUAAGUUGGGGGACUCAUCAAUGGCCAUUGAGCACAAGCAACACAUAGAUCACAUUCCCCACUGAGGCGUUCAACAAUGGGAAAAAACAAUGGCUUGGAUUUUGCAACAGUAAUCAUGACAACACUGUCAGCAUUCACUGUCAUUGCUCCUCUGAAACUGACAGCGAUUUCUUGAAUCUGCACAAAUGCGGUUCAAAACAGAAACCCAGAAGUUGCUGUAAAUGAUUCUUUGUUUCUCUAGGGGGUGUGCUGUUGAGGUCACUCCCAGAAUGCAGUCAAUUAGAAAUCAUUGACCUGAUGAGAACUUCCACUUUUAUACAAUUAGUUUUGUUGUAAAAAUCCUUGAAAAGGUUACACCUUGUUCAUUGAGUUACAACUGGAUUUUUAACAGUGUACUAAGUUCACAAUGACUGCUUGAGAAACUCAUUGCUCCUGAACAAGUAAUUUUAUAUUUGUUGAAUAUUAAGUUUCUUCAUCGUGAUAAAAAUUUCAAAAUAUUUUUAAUAUAAUAUUCUUUAACCUUAUUAUGUUUUAGCUUCUACCAUAACCCAUGUGUAUGUUCCAACCAUUUAUUUUGGUACCGGAAAAUUUCAAACUAAAAAUGAAGGAAUUCAAUGUU
This is a long non-coding RNA of Carcharodon carcharias (great white shark), 1276 nucleotides long. RefSeq lists it as uncharacterized. The transcript is spliced from 2 exons. Lineage: Eukaryota; Metazoa; Chordata; Chondrichthyes; Lamniformes; Lamnidae. The record is from RefSeq and is a predicted model, not a curated record.